RNAcentral lists this ribosomal RNA (274 nucleotides) under uncultured bacterium. RNAcentral describes it as "partial 16S ribosomal RNA". It matches the Rfam family "Bacterial small subunit ribosomal RNA", at positions 523 to 796 of the family's 1533-position model. The record is from RNAcentral.
AUACGGAGGGUGCAAGCGUUAUCCGGAUUCAUUGGGUUUAAAGGGUCCGCAGGCGGGAAAAUAAGUCAGUGGUGAAAGCCUACAGCUCAACUGUAGAACUGCCAUUGAAACUGUUUUUCUUGAGUAUAGAUGAAGUGGGCGGAAUAUAUCAUGUAGCGGUGAAAUGCAUAGAUAUGAUAUAGAACACCGAUUGCGAAGGCAGCUCACUAAACUAUUACUGACGCUCAGGGACGAAAGCGUGGGGAGCGAACAGGAUUAGAAACCCCAGUAGUCC